CCUACGGGGGGCAGCAGUAGGGAAUAUUGCUCAAUGGGGGAAACCCUGAAGCAGCAACGCCGCGUGGAGGAUGAAGGUUUUCGGAUUGUAAACUUCUUUUGUUAGAGAAGAUAAUGACGGUAUUUAACGACUAAGCACCGGCUAACUCCGAGCCAGCAGCCGCGGUAAUACGGAGGGUGCAAGCGUUACUCGGAAUCAUUGGGCGUAAAGGGCGCGUAGGCGGGAUAGCAAGUCAGAUGUGAAAUCCUAUGGCUUAACCAGUGAACUGCAUUUGAAACUGUUAUUCUAGAGUAUGGGAGAGGUAGGUGGAAUUCUUGGUGUAGGGGUAAAAUCCGUAGAGAUCAAGAGGAAUACUCAUGGCGAAGGCGGCCUGCUAGAACAUAACUGACGCUGAGGCGCGAAAGCGUGGGGAGCAAACAGGAUUAGAUACCCUUGUAGUC
This 440-nucleotide ribosomal RNA is filed under the name uncultured bacterium. Its description in RNAcentral is "partial 16S ribosomal RNA". It matches the Rfam family "Bacterial small subunit ribosomal RNA", at positions 338 to 795 of the family's 1533-position model. The record is from RNAcentral.